Molecule: long non-coding RNA, 734 nt
Organism: Quercus lobata
Lineage: Eukaryota; Viridiplantae; Streptophyta; Magnoliopsida; Fagales; Fagaceae
Exons: 2
Source: RefSeq, a predicted model, not a curated record
GUGAUACUCUAUCAGCUUGGGGCCACAUCUUUGAUGACAUUAAACUUAUGCUGAAAAAGUAGCUGGUACUUGGGAAACUGAUUGCUGCUUGCUUUUCAAUGACUAAUGAGGCUGCCAAGGCCUUGUCUUCUUGUAUCACACUCAGCUGGAGGAGUCCAUGCCAUUUGCAUUGAAGAAUGUCCUCCUUUCGUACAACCAUUACUGUAGGUUUUGGCCUUAUUUGUGUGUCAUGCUCAAAUAUACCUCUUUUUUUUUAAUCAAAAUAUAAAGCAUCAUCUCUCCUUGUUAGAAGCAUACUCUUGAUUCAAACCCCUCUUACAUCAAGCUCAAGGAAAGGAGAUCAUGUGGAGGUCUUGGAGUUCCAGAAGAGGGGGGCACUCAGCAAAAUGGUAAGAACUCGAUGAGCUGAUCACAUGAACUGCACCUUGGUUUGCUUUCUUGUAAACCAUGCCCCCACCAGACUCCAUCUCAGUUCUCAACACUUGGGCGAGUAAUUAUUCGGCUAACAGCCAAUUCUUGGAAUUUUCUUGUCUCACCAAAAAGAAUAGUCAAAUCAUGAUUUUCCUUUAUUGAAGUGAGCUUUUUCUUUUUUCUUUUUUCGGGUUUGGUUUUUCAUUUUCCAUUCAGUGGUGGGGAAUUGAAUCUGUAUGGUGGUUUGGGUGGGAGGUAUUCAAUGAGGGGAUUUGGAUUUUAGUUUUUAGUUUAAAUGACUUGAAUAAAAUAAAAUUUUAUAA